RNAcentral lists this ribosomal RNA (879 nucleotides) under uncultured bacterium. RNAcentral's name for it is "bacterial SSU rRNA". It matches the Rfam family "Bacterial small subunit ribosomal RNA", at positions 30 to 899 of the family's 1533-position model. The record is from RNAcentral. RNAcentral also lists the same sequence under 1 other name.
UGAACGCUAGCUACAGGCUUAACACAUGCAAGUCGAGGGGAAACGACAUCGAAAGCUUGCUUUUGAUGGGCGUCGACCGGCGCACGGGUGAGUAACGCGUAUCCAACCUGCCCACCACUUGGGGAUAACCUUGCGAAAGUAAGACUAAUACCCAAUGACGUCUCUAGAAGACAUCUGAAGGAGAUUAAAGAUUUAUCGGUGAUGGAUGGGGAUGCGUCUGAUUAGCUUGUUGGCGGGGUAACGGCCCACCAAGGCGACGAUCAGUAGGGGUUCUGAGAGGAAGGUCCCCCACAUUGGAACUGAGACACGGUCCAAACUCCUACGGGAGGCAGCAGUGAGGAAUAUUGGUCAAUGGACGAGAGUCUGAACCAGCCAAGUAGCGUGCAGGAUGACGGCCCUAUGGGUUGUAAACUGCUUUUAUAAGGGAAUAAAGUGAGUCUCGUGAGACUUUUUGCAUGUACCUUAUGAAUAAGGACCGGCUAAUUCCGUGCCAGCAGCCGCGGUAAUACGGAAGGUCCGGGCGUUAUCCGGAUUUAUUGGGUUUAAAGGGAGCGUAGGCCGGAGAUUAAGCGUGUUGUGAAAUGUAGACGCUCAACGUCUGCACUGCAGCGCGAACUGGUUUCCUUGAGUACGCACAAAGUGGGCGGAAUUCGUGGUGUAGCGGUGAAAUGCUUAGAUAUCACGAAGAACUCCGAUUGCGAAGGCAGCUCACUGGAGCGCAACUGACGCUGAAGCUCGAAAGUGCGGGUAUCGAACAGGAUUAGAUACCCUGGUAGUCCGCACGGUAAACGAUGGAUGCCCGCUGUUGGUCUGAAUAGGUCAGCGGCCAAGCGAAAGCAUUAAGCAUCCCACCUGGGGAGUACGCCGGCAACGGUGCAA